GACGAACGCUGGCGGCGUGCUUAACACAUGCAAGUCGAACGGAAAGGCCCUGCUUUUGUGGGGUGCUCGAGUGGCGAACGGGUGAGUAACACGUGAGUAACCUGCCCUUGACUUUGGGAUAACUUCAGGAAACUGGGGCUAAUACCGGAUAGGAGCUCCUGCUGCAUGGUGGGGGUUGGAAAGUUUCGGCGGUUGGGGAUGGACUCGCGGCUUAUCAGCUUGUUGGUGGGGUAGUGGCUUACCAAGGCUUUGACGGGUAGCCGGCCUGAGAGGGUGACCGGCCACAUUGGGACGGAGAUACGGCCCAGACUCCUACGGGAGGCAGCAGGGGGGAAUAUUGCACAAUGGGCGGAAGCCUGAUGCAGCAACGCCGCGUGCGGAGGACGGCCUUCGGGUUGUAAACCGCUUUCGCCUGUGACGAAGCGUGAGUGACGGUAAUGGGUAAAGAAGCACCGGCUAACUACGU
RNAcentral lists this ribosomal RNA (466 nucleotides) under uncultured bacterium. RNAcentral describes it as "partial 16S ribosomal RNA". It matches the Rfam family "Bacterial small subunit ribosomal RNA", at positions 28 to 506 of the family's 1533-position model. The record is from RNAcentral.